AGAAGCGCUUCCUGCUCAGGAAAAAAGAAAACGCGGCAAACAUAGUCACUCGCAUUACGCAGCAGCCAGCCUCUCUCUCUCUCUGCGUGUGCGUGUGCCUCUCGAGGACGCUUCUCGCUUACACCCCCCCCUCCUCCUCCCUCUCCUUCGAUAGAAGCGACUAGAGGCUCACUCACACACCAACCUCUACGCCAUGGAGCCUCUCUACGCCAAGAUGGCCUCCUUCGACAUGGAGGCGCUGACGCCGGCGCAGAAGUACGGCAUCCAGGCCGCGUUUCUGGGAAUCAUCUUUGUGAGCUUCGGUGUGUACAGCAGCGUCGUCAUCCCUGUCAUCGCGGCGGUGGUGAAGGGGCGCAUUCCCGAGCGUGUGAAGCCUCUAGAGAAGCUGACGGUGAAGGACAAGUUGUACGUUGGUUUUGCCAAGGCGGUGACCGCCGUCUUCGUGUACCACACGUACCAGUUCAUCCGCAACACAGAGGUGAGCCGCAUGUCACCCGACUUCCUGGACGGCCCUGCCGUGGUGCGGUCGGUGCUGUGGCUGCCGGUACACCUGCCGGCGCUCUUCAUUCUCUACGACUUCUUCUACACACUGUUCCACUGGACCCUUCACUGGCCCCCCAUCUACUCCCUCAUUCACAAGCAUCAUCAUCGGCAGAUGUCUCCCUUUCGCGGCAACACCGACGCCAUCAAUGAUAACCCAAUCGAGUACGUCUCGGGCGAGUACCUGCACCUGCUGGCGCUGUACCUGCUGACACGCUUGACGCCCGUGGGCCAGGUGCACGCACUGACGGCUAUCAUCUUCAUCUUUCUUGGCGGCACUCUCGCCAGCCUGAACCACACCCGCGUGGACUUACACAUUCCGUACUUGUUCAACGUGAAGGCACACGACUACCACCACCGGCAGCCGCGCGUCAACUUUGGGCAGUACAUCAUGCUCUGGGACUGGGUGUUUGGCACCUUCCAGGCCGAGGGGCUGCCCUCGGAGGAGUCGGCGAAGAGCCUCAAGAAGGCAGUGUGAAAAGUCGACAUAAAGUCGGACCAACGGCAGGCGCAGGCGGUUGUAGAGGAGGAGCGGAGAGCAAGGAGCCUUUUUUUUUUGGAUGGGUGGAGGGGGAGGGGAGGAGGCUCCCCGUGUGCGAUGCAGCGGAAGGGCCGAGGGCCCUACCGCCAUAUACGUAACCUCUCUGUGCCCCGCCGUCUCUGUCUCUUCUAUGCGCCUCUAGCCUUCACGCUUGCAAUGCCUUUUGUUACUUACCUUGUUUCUUGUUUCGCUGUGUGAAGGCGCACACACGUCAGCUCUCACAACCACGUGUCCGUGGACCGGCAGAGACACGCAACACAAAGAGAACAAGAAACUUCACCUUGUCCCUCCUUGUUUCUCCCUCGCGACCGUCUGCAGCGAGGCGGCGGCCACGCUCCUCGUGGCCUCGCCCAUUCCCCUUUCAGAAUGUGGCGCACAAGCCUAGUACGUUGAUGUGUAGACAUCAGAGGUGAGCCGCAGGUGUGCGUGGAAAUCGAAGACGAGGGGGUCAAACACCCGUAAAACGGAAGCAAAAUGUGGAAGCCCUCUUCGCCGAACUGCGAGCAGAAGACGAGCGCCAAGAUACCCGAGGCGGGCAAUCGGGUGUAUCUGUAUGUCUCCACCUGUGCAGUGGUGUGUGUGUGUGUGUGUGUGUGUCUUUGUUGCUUCUCUUCAUCUCUCUUUCCUUGGACCGGCAGUGCAUGUAGGAGACGUUGCAUUCCGCUGAAGAGACGAUGCCCAGGCAGGCAUGGUUGAGGCGGGCGCGCAUCGUUCGCGCACCCAUGCCUGUUGUACCGUGGGUCCUGUGUGACAGCCACGGCGCCGUCCUCUUGAGUGCCUGAAAAACACUUCCAGGUCGGCAGUGGCCCCUCCCCCCGCCC
Molecule: unclassified non-coding RNA, 1902 nt
Filed under: Leishmania donovani
Lineage: Eukaryota; Euglenozoa; Kinetoplastea; Trypanosomatida; Trypanosomatidae
Description: gene:LdHU3.31.0920(CDS-product:C-5_sterol_desatur ase_putative)
Source: RNAcentral